This 74-nucleotide transfer RNA is filed under the name Thermoplasmata archaeon. RNAcentral's name for it is "tRNA-Met". It matches the Rfam family "tRNA". Rfam says of the family: Transfer RNA (tRNA) molecules are approximately 80 nucleotides in length. Their secondary structure includes four short double-helical elements and three loops (D, anti-codon, and T loops). The record is from RNAcentral. Lineage: Archaea; Methanobacteriati; Thermoplasmatota; Thermoplasmata.
GUCGGGGUGGCUCACCUGGUGAGAGCGCCUGACUCAUAAUCAGGAGGUCGCGGGUUCAAACCCCGCCCCCGACA